RNAcentral lists this transfer RNA (71 nucleotides) under Fukomys damarensis (Damara mole-rat). It matches the Rfam family "tRNA". Rfam says of the family: Transfer RNA (tRNA) molecules are approximately 80 nucleotides in length. Their secondary structure includes four short double-helical elements and three loops (D, anti-codon, and T loops). Further hydrogen bonds mediate the characteristic L-shaped molecular structure. tRNAs have two regions of fundamental functional importance: the anti-codon, which is responsible for specific mRNA codon recognition, and the 3' end, to which the tRNAs corresponding amino acid is attached (by aminoacyl-tRNA synthetases). tRNAs cope with the degeneracy of the genetic code in two manners: having more than one tRNA (with a specific anti-codon) for a particular amino acid; and 'wobble' base-pairing, i.e. permitting non-standard base-pairing at the 3rd anti-codon position. The record is from Rfam by way of RNAcentral. Lineage: Eukaryota; Metazoa; Chordata; Mammalia; Rodentia; Bathyergidae.
GGCAGUGUGAUGCAGUGGUAGAGCAUGUGUCUGGCAUGUGUGAGGCCUGGGUUCAAUCCCCAGCAUGACCA